AUGCUUGCUUCGGCAGCACAAACACUAAAAUUGGAACAAUACAGAGAAGAUUAGCAUGGCCCCGGUGCAAGGAUGACACCCAAAUAAAAGUAGGUUGAAAGUCACUU
Molecule: small nuclear RNA, 107 nt
Organism: Octodon degus (degu)
Lineage: Eukaryota; Metazoa; Chordata; Mammalia; Rodentia; Octodontidae
Source: Ensembl